This 30-nucleotide non-coding RNA is filed under the name Rattus norvegicus (Norway rat). Lineage: Eukaryota; Metazoa; Chordata; Mammalia; Rodentia; Muridae. The record is from RNAcentral.
UAACAGUUGCUCUUCCUGUGCGUCCCCAUU